RNAcentral lists this long non-coding RNA (1916 nucleotides) under Homo sapiens (human). Its description in RNAcentral is "HSALNT0334651". Lineage: Eukaryota; Metazoa; Chordata; Mammalia; Primates; Hominidae. The record is from RNAcentral.
GAACAUAAGCCCGAUGAGGACGCAGAGCACCAGGCAGAAGCCGAUGUCCGCAUGGUUGUGGAUGACGAACUCCUGGCUGAAGAGCGGGUCCACAGUUAUUUCACUUCUAAAUAAAUAUGGUUUUUUAAAAGUGGCACGCGGUGGAAUGUAAUUGAGACAGGAUGGAGUUCCUAGAGAAAUUUUACUUCCUCAAUCUGCACUCCACCUUACUUAAAAUACAGUCUUGGGUCUGUAAUUCCCUUAUCUGACUCUCAAGGAAAUGACAAAGUAAUGCCUAGAUUGGACUAAACCUCAUUUAACUUCAAGGCUGACCUUUCUCAAAGUUGAACCUUCGUCUUGUGAGGAACAGAAAGAUCAAGAACUCUGAAGCACCUCGACUUUCCACCUGUGAAGAUGUGUUCAAAUUUGCAACGUGCGGCCACACCUAUGAGGUUGAACUUUAUACAAUUGGUUUCUUUAUAGGUUUAGAUGGUUGAAUUUAAGUUACCCCCACUGCUAUUAUUAUUAUUUUGAGACAGAGUCUUAACUCUGUUGCCCAGGCAGGAGUGCAGUGGCGAGAUCUGGACUCACUGCAACCUCUGCCUCCUGGCUUCAAGCAAUUCUCAUGCUUCAGCCUGUAGCUGGAACUACAGGUCACUCCCUCUGGAGGAAACCAGCUGCCACUUUGUGAGGAUACUCAUAGUCCUGUGGAGGCAUAUCCUCCAUAUGGCUGAGACCUCCUGCGAACAACCAUCACUGACUUGCCAGACAUGAGUGUGCCACCUUGGAAGCAGAUUUUCCAGCCCCAGUUAAGCCUUCAGAUGACAUCAGCCCCUGCUAAUCUCUUGACUACAACCUCAUGAGAGACCCUGAGCCAGAACUAGCCAGGCUUACCCCUCAUGGUUACAAAGUGGCUGCAACAGCUCCAGGUGUUCUAUCCUUUAACACAGAAUAACUCAAACAACAAGACCCAAUAUUCAGACAAGAAGGAAAGGGACUUUUGGAGAGUGAAGAAAACUUUCCUAGAAACCUCAAACUUCUCCCCAUGCCUUAUUGGCCAGAUUGUAUCCCAUGCCCAUUUCUAAACCAAUCAUUGGCAAAGUGAGUGGAAUUGACGUGAUUAGAUUAACUUUACCAAGAAUGCAUCCUCAGAGAGGCUGAGAAAAAGUCCAGCCUCCUUUGAAGAGCCUGGCUACCUUUCACCUGAACAAAACAAGAAUUCUGAUGAAAAAUGGAGAAUGUAUGUGGAGCAGGCACCCGGAGUGUCUAUGCCAGGAUUUUUUUUCAGUGCGUUUCACCGGUUAUAUUUUUGUCUCUUUACCUUACAAGAUAUGUGGCACGUUUGCCUAAAACAAGCCUUGCUUUCUGAUUUCUGUGCACUAGGCACUUAAACCUUGCAAAUGUCGCUUACCUAACAGUCACUGUCAAGGAGUACCUGGCUAAAGAAUCUCCAGCUAGACAAAGUAGAAGUGUCUGUGCUCUGGCAGUUGAAUAUAUUGUAUCAGGCUCAACAGCACCUUUCACCAAAGGAUGAGACUUCACAACCAUUAGAUCUUCUUUUAUUUUGUUUUUAUUAAAAAAAAAAAUUUUAACACACCAUUGCUAACUUGAAGCCAUUAGAUCUUCUUACCCCCAAUACCACAAAAGUUUAGUGGAAUCAGGGGUAUACCAAGGCAGGUGGAGUAGGGGAGCUGGGAGUGGUCAGCCCCCAGGGCAGGCAAUGAGGGAUUGUGAAUCUGUGAAGAAUUUUAAAGCAAUGAUACAGCUCUAAAUGCAAUGUACUAUCCUGGACUUAGCCCUGGAAAAGAAAAAAGAUAUUAGUGGAAAAACUGGUAAAAUUCAAAUAAUGUCUGUAGUUUGGUUAAUAGUAUUAUACCAAUGUUAAUUUCUGUGUUUUGAUAAAUGUACCAUGGUUAUGUAAGCUGGAUGAAAGAUAU